AAUAACUUCCAAUACUCUAUUAUUAUGUCUAAAAUCUCUCAUGAGUUCGUCUCAACAAAAUAUGAUCCACAUAGGUUGCUGUCUCCAACUCAGCAUAUAGAAUGGUUUUUGCCGAUACAUAACCAGCAUUACAGCAUUAGUAGAUAGAACAAAAAAAAGAGGCUGCUCGAUGCUCCAUCGGCAGGACCAUAUUACACGAAAUUUAACACCAAAGAGACUAGUUAAUAUACGAAUAUAAAGAUAACCAUCAUCCACAUAGGAAGCAUGUUUUUUUUUGUUGUCCGAAUAUAAGCUCAAACGAGCAAACCACACUCAGCAACCUACUCGUAGGCAGGAGUUCCAAAACGGGCACGCAAAGAGAAGCAACUCAGUACUUGUAGUCCUUGACGUGGAGGCUCUCGGUGUCAGCAGCAGCAUCACCCUUGUAGGUGCCGAGGGUAGCCUCAGAGUUGGCCUUGCACCUGGCGAGGAAGGCCGCCCUAGCCUUCUCGAUGUUCUCCACCUUGCCAGCCCAGGCCUUGAGUGUGCUCGCCUGGAGGGCACGGCCGAAGGAGAAGGACAGGGACCACGGUUUCUUGGUGUUGAGCUUGUUCAUGGCAUUGAGGUUGAGGGUGGCCUCCUCCUCGCUCUGUCCACCGGAGAGGAAGACAACAGCAGGCACAGCAGCAGGGACGGUCCUCUGGAGGGUGCGGACGGUGUACUCAGCAAUCAACUCAGGGGUCACCUUCUUAGAGUCAGAGCCUGGGGUCACCAUGUUGGGCUUCAGGAGGGUACCCUCCAGGAGGACAUGGUGCUCGUUGAGAGCCUUGUAGCAGGCAGCAAGGACGACCUCAGUGACAUAAGCGCAGCGAUCAAUGUCAUGAGGGCCAUCAACAAGGAUCUCAGGCUCAACAAUCGGCACCAGACCGUUCUCCUGGCAGAUGAUGGCAUAGCGAGCCAGGCCCUGAGCAUUCAGGUCAAUGGCAAGCUGUGAUGGCUCAUUGGGGCCGAUCUUGAGAACAGCACGCCACUUAGCAAAGCGGGCACCGGCCUCGUAGUACUUGGCGCAGCGCUUGCCAAGGUCAUCAUGGCCCUGGGUGGUGGUCUCCUUGUCCGUGCCAGCAACCUC
Molecule: long non-coding RNA, 1108 nt
Filed under: Sorghum bicolor (sorghum)
Lineage: Eukaryota; Viridiplantae; Streptophyta; Magnoliopsida; Poales; Poaceae
Description: long non-coding RNA (SBIC_LNC005834)
Source: RNAcentral